Molecule: ribosomal RNA, 510 nt
Filed under: uncultured bacterium
Lineage: Bacteria
Description: partial 16S ribosomal RNA
Rfam family: Bacterial small subunit ribosomal RNA
Source: RNAcentral
GACGAACGCUGGCGGCGUGCUUAACACAUGCAAGUCGAACGAAGAGCGACGGAAGCUUGCUUCUAUCAAUCUUAGUGGCGAACGGGUGAGUAACGCGUAAUCAACCUGCCCUUCAGAGGGGGACAACAGUUGGAAACGAUUGCUAAUACCGCAUACGAUCUAACCUCGGUAUCGCGGAUAGAUGAAAGGUGGCCUCUACAUGUAAGCCAUAACUGAAGGCGGGGAUUGAGUCUGAUUAGCUAGAUGGAGGGGUACCGGCGCACUAAGGCGAGGAACAGUAGCCGGUCUGAGAGGAGGAGCGGCAACAUUGGGACGGGAACACGGCCCAGACCACUAGGGGAGAGAGCAGGGGGGAAUCUUCCGCAAUGGACGAAAGUCGGACGGAGCAACGCCGCGUGAGUGAGGACGGCCUUCGGGUUGUGAAGGUCUGUUAGUCGGGAGGAAAGGCCUUCUUGCGAAUAGGGAGAAGGAUUGACGGUACCGGAAUAGAAAGCCACGGCUAACUACGUG